RNAcentral lists this long non-coding RNA (727 nucleotides) under Mytilus galloprovincialis (Mediterranean mussel). The record is from RNAcentral. Lineage: Eukaryota; Metazoa; Mollusca; Bivalvia; Mytilida; Mytilidae.
AAAACUGUCAUGUGAUUGGUUUAAAAUGUUCAUAUUGAAGAACACAACUUAUUAUACCUUCCUUUGCGAUUUACAAAAGAUGACAAUAUUAACUUGGUGACUAAGGUGGACCAGCCUUAUAUAAUCAGCAUUUUUGAAAAUUCACGAUAUUGUAAGUAUCGACCGCUGGACACUCAAAGUUUAUGUCAUAAAAACAAGGUUGAGAUACUUUAUUUUUAGUCUAGAAAACGCUCUCUUUUAUUCUUAUAUCGGUAGCUGGAUUUCCAAGUAAAUUUCAUGCAGCAAAGAAAAAUACAGAUCUGAAUGGAGAGAAUGUUAGAUGGACUAAUAUAUAUGACACGUUCAACAGGGUUGAACUUACAUUUGUAAAUUACAAUUGUGGGAGUUGUCUAUUUUUCUAACCAAUACUUUCGUUCAUUCCUUCGACCCUUUAUAAGAAAUUACCAGUACUUGACUUUGACACAUGACAAGUAAAAAAAAAACACUUUUAAUUUGUGAUGAAGAGUCUUAAAAUAGCGAAAUUUUGAUUCCGUCGUUCUUCCUCUUUACUCUGUUUUUGAGUUAGGAGAACUUUUUCAUUUGUAGAAUAUCAACAACGAAAUCGUAUCAACUGAGAUGCAUGACGAAAUCGGCUGUUACUGAUGGUUUGAUAUACAUACAUAUACUAAACAUGGAUAGAUAACAAAUAUAAGAAAUGGAAAGUUUUUAGAUUGUAUUAUAUGUCUCU